Molecule: transfer RNA, 70 nt
Filed under: Anabropsis tonkinensis
Lineage: Eukaryota; Metazoa; Arthropoda; Insecta; Orthoptera; Anostostomatidae
Description: tRNA-Lys
Source: RNAcentral
CAUUAGAUGACUGAAAGUAAGUAUUGGUCUCUUAAACCAUUUAAUAGUAAUUAACAACUACUUCUAGUGA